GUCCUCAUGGCCCUUAUGGGUUGGGCUACACACGUGCUACAAUGGCGGUGACAGUGGGAUGCGAAGUCGCAAGAUGGAGCCAAUCCCCAAAAGCCGUCUCAGUUCGGAUUGCACUCUGCAACUCGGGUGCAUGAAGUUGGAAUCGCUAGUAAUCGCGGAUCAGCACGCCGCGGUGAAUACGUUCCCGGGCCUUGUACACACCGCCCGUCACACCAUGGGAGUUGGCUUUACCCGAAGGUGGUGCGCUAACCCGCAAGGGAGGCAGCCAACCACGGUCAGGUCAGCGACUGGGGUGAAGUCGUAACAAGGUAGCCGUAGGGGAACCUGCGGCUGGAUCACCUCCUUUCUAAGG
This 352-nucleotide ribosomal RNA is filed under the name Azospirillum brasilense. Its description in RNAcentral is "bacterial SSU rRNA". It matches the Rfam family "Bacterial small subunit ribosomal RNA", at positions 1189 to 1533 of the family's 1533-position model. Lineage: Bacteria; Pseudomonadati; Pseudomonadota; Alphaproteobacteria; Rhodospirillales; Azospirillaceae. The record is from RNAcentral.